This 447-nucleotide ribosomal RNA is filed under the name uncultured Desulfobulbus sp. Its description in RNAcentral is "bacterial SSU rRNA". It matches the Rfam family "Bacterial small subunit ribosomal RNA", at positions 940 to 1382 of the family's 1533-position model. Lineage: Bacteria; Pseudomonadati; Thermodesulfobacteriota; Desulfobulbia; Desulfobulbales; Desulfobulbaceae. The record is from RNAcentral.
UGUGGUUAAUUCGAUGCAACGCGAAGAACCUUACCUGGUCUUGACAUCCCGGAGACCCGUUAGGAAACUAGGGGUGCUUCCAUCUGGAAGAAUCUGGAGACAGGUGCUGCAUGGCUGUCGUCAGCUCGUGUCGUGAGAUGUUGGGUUAAGUCCCGCAACGAGCGCAACCCUUGCCUUUAGUUGCCAGCAGUUCGGCUGGGCACUCUAAAGGGACUGCCGGUGUUAAACCGGAGGAAGGUGGGGAUGACGUCAAGUCCUCAUGGCCUUUAUGACCAGGGCUACACACGUACUACAAUGGCCGAUACAAAGGGCAGCGACACUGCGAGGUGAAGCCAAUCCCGUAAAAUCGGUCUCAGUCCGGAUUGGAGUCUGCAACUCGACUCCAUGAAGUUGGAAUCGCUAGUAAUCGUGGAUCAGCAUGCCACGGUGAAUACGUUCCCGGGCCUU